This 459-nucleotide ribosomal RNA is filed under the name uncultured bacterium. RNAcentral describes it as "bacterial SSU rRNA". It matches the Rfam family "Bacterial small subunit ribosomal RNA", at positions 34 to 507 of the family's 1533-position model. The record is from RNAcentral.
CGCUGGCGGCGUGCUUAACACAUGCAAGUCGAACGAUGAAGCUGGAGCUUGCUCCGGUGGAUUAGUGGCGAACGGGUGAGUAACACGUGAGCAAUCUGCCCUUGACUCUGGGAUAACUGCGGGAAACUGUAGCUAAUACCGGAUAUUUUCCCUGGUGGGCAUCCACUGGGGAAGAAAGAAUUUCGGUCAAGGAUGAGCUCGCGGCCUAUCAGCUAGUUGGUGAGGUAAUGGCUCACCAAGGCCACGAUCAGUAGCUGGUCUGAGAGGAUGAUCAGCCACACUGGGACUGAGACACGGCCCAGACUCCUACGGGAGGCAGCAGUGAGGAAUUUUCCACAAUGGGCGAAAGCCUGAUGGAGCAAUACCGCGUGGAGGAAGAAGGACCGUGGUUCGUAAACUCCUUUUCUCAGAGAAGAAGAUCUGACGGUAUCUGAGGAAUAAGCUCCGGCUAACUCUGUG